Molecule: long non-coding RNA, 523 nt
Organism: Hippocampus comes (tiger tail seahorse)
Lineage: Eukaryota; Metazoa; Chordata; Actinopteri; Syngnathiformes; Syngnathidae
Exons: 2
Source: RefSeq, a predicted model, not a curated record
CUCUCACACUUCCUGAUUCACACGACAUCGGAUCGCAAAGGUCACAAAAGCCUGCAACAUAUCAACGUUCUGCUUUAAACACAUUUGAAAAGCAUUAAGAUGUGAGUGAGCUCUUUAGCCCCUUUUUAACGUGACGGAAACGCUCACAAGCGUGUUCAAAAACAGCCAAAGAAGCGAGGGCAACGUUUGUCUGUUACAAAGCGAAAUGGUAUCCCGGCGGCUUUGUUGUUAACUAAUGGCCCAAACACAAGCGGUUAGCCUGGAAACACAAUGAAGAUGAAGAUGAAGGGAUUUGAGUCGCUGUUACCCACCUCAUUGUUCGGCCGGAGUGGAGCUCCUCUCCUCGCGGGACAACUUUGAUUCACUUGAAAGCUGAAGCGGGCGGAUUAAAGUCAAACUAGCCGAACCCACACCCAAACUACCAGAAAUGUGUCGGAGUGGGGGAUAAAGUCGCAUCUACACCCGCAAACGGGGUAGCAACUCGCGGGAUAAUCGAAGCACACCUCGACGAUUUCCUGGUUGU